CUUUCUUUCUUCCUUUCUUCUCUUUCCCUGAUGACAGCAGGGGCAGUUCUAUGCUCCCAAGCAAGAUAAGAACAAGAGAGAAUGGGCAAGGGGUCAUCGAUGGACCGGAGAUGGGAUGGUAGGGACAGAAACUGCAGGGUCCGCAGAAGGAACUGCUCACCGAAAGCCAACAAGCUUGCCCUGUGGAAUCCCAGAAAGGCCCAGGAACUUCGGGACAUCACUGAAGGCAGAGUGAAGAGAGGAAGAGAAGACAGAGAAAUGGAGGGGAGAAAACUAUUAAAAUAAGUAAUAAGAAAACUUUCCCCAGAAGUGCAGAAUCUGAAUUUCCAGUAUAAAAGGGUCCAUUGAGCGCCAAGAACAAUGAAGGAAAAAAGGUCCCACUCAGGCCUACGUAUCAUUGUGAAAUUUCAGAACUAGAGGGAUAAAGAAAAGAUCCUAAAAGCUUCCCGAGAGAUAAAAAAGAAGAUUUUUACAAAGGAUCAGCAAUCAGAAUUGCCUCAGACUGCUCAAUAAAAACAUCAGAAGCUAGAAGAAAAUAGAAUGAGGCAUCAAAAUCCUGAGGGAAAUGAUUCCCACCUAUAAUUUCAUAUUCUGCUCAAUUAUCAAUUGAGUAUUGAAGGGAAAUAAAGACAUUUUUAGACAUG
Molecule: long non-coding RNA, 644 nt
Filed under: Homo sapiens (human)
Lineage: Eukaryota; Metazoa; Chordata; Mammalia; Primates; Hominidae
Description: HSALNT0362677
Source: RNAcentral